This 256-nucleotide ribosomal RNA is filed under the name uncultured bacterium. RNAcentral's name for it is "partial 16S ribosomal RNA". It matches the Rfam family "Bacterial small subunit ribosomal RNA", at positions 521 to 776 of the family's 1533-position model. The record is from RNAcentral.
UAAUACGUAGGGGGCGAGCGUUGUCCGGAAUGAUUGGGCGUAAAGGGCGCGUAGGCGGCCAGGCAAGUCAGUAGUGGAAGUCCAAUUUUCAAGGUUGGAAGUGCUAUUGAAACUGCAGGGCUUGAGUGCAGGAGAGGUUAUCGGAAUUCCCGGUGUAGCGGUGAAAUGCGUAGAGAUCGGGAGGAACACCAGUGGCGAAGGCGGGUAACUGGACUGCAACUGACGCUGAGGCGCGAAAGUGUGGGGAGCAAACAGG